AUCAAUAACACAGUCCUACCUACUUGCCAUUUGAAACCUUUAUUCAACACAAAUCAUUAAUUUCAACUGCUACCUAAUGAGGCCAAACUCUGAGUUUCGUACCAAUUCAAGUUAAAACUAGUAAUCACAUAACGCAUAUGCAAACUGCCACCAAUUUAACUUAACAAAUCUACAGUAACAAUAGUAAACAAGCUUAAACAGUCCAAAGUUAAUACAGUUGGAUCAUUGCAAUCCAAUUUUUGGGCAUUCAUAUCAAUUGGAAAUAAUUUUAAUUAAGCCCAAAAAAAUCAAACUAAACAACAAGGCAUAUUUUACUAUAACUACAGUUUAACUACUAAGCAGUGAAUGCAUCCUUGAUCCAAACUUCCAUUCAUUUCAUCAACCAAGGGUUUACAAGCAUGUACCUGGAAACGGAAAUUCAACAAGAAGAGGUGGAUCAGCAGCAGAUUAAGUAAUCAGCAGGACCAAACAGCAAAUCACGACAUCAAGGAAUCAGUUUGGACUUAGUUAUAGACCCAGAGAUGAUGUUCAAUGAACCAGGACCAAUUUCAACCAAAAAAAACCCCCAAAACAGCUUGAAUACAACUAAAAUGACUCGAGAUUAAAUCCAGGAACAACCAGAAAACUUCAACAAUCAAAUUGAAGCUAACUAAUGUAAGUCCACACUAUAACUUAGAAUUGAGCUUAAAAUUGCAGUGGAACAGUAUUUGAAUGCCCUGUUUUUUGGAUUUUUCUUUUUAUUUUCUGAAGUGGAGAUCUGAGAAAGAGUUUGUGAAUUUUAGAAUCGUAGAUCUGCCUAUUAUGCAAUGUAACAGUAAUUUUUGGUUUUUUCUAUUUUCUAAAUGUUUUGUAUUUUUGAAAAUUUCAAUUCUAACACUAAGCUGAAAUUUAGAGAAGGGGAAAAGGUUUUCGAGGGAAUUUUUGGGCUGAAAAAUUGGACCCUUCACAAGGCAAAGCACUCUAUAUUUAUAGGUGAACUAGGUUUUUUAUAUUUACCUCUUGGUCUCUCUCUUUUUAUCUUUUGACCCUUCUAUCUCUGACUUGUAACACAAGUAGCCCUUAUCUAGAAACUCCUAGGUGUUGCACAUUAUUUUUGUGCCUGCCAAAUUCCCAUAAUACCCUUAAACUCCCCUCAGAUUUUACUAAGAUAUUUUACACAGUUAACCCUCAUACCCUGCUAAUUAACCACCAAAUGAGCUUAACUACAAUCUAGCUGACCCAAACAAUUAACCAAAAUUAAACCAACCAAAACACAUAUAAUCUAAUUACUCUAACAAAAGUCAAAAUCAAUCCAAAUGAAUAACUAACGGAACCAAGCUAAUCUGCCAAUUUUAACCAAAUACUUCAAACCAACUGGAAUCGAAAUUAAUCAAAAUAAACCAAGAUACAUGCAAGUACACAAAGAGAAAGAAAACGAAAUAAUAAAAAGAAAGAAAGAAAGACCAUAAAACUCACUGAUGAACCAAGAACUCCGGCCAGCAGUUGAGCCCAAAUCAUCCAAAAAUCUUGACACCUAACAUCCCAAAUCAUGUGUUUUCAUAAGAAAACACCUGAUUAGGGGUGUUACGGUCCGAAAUUAUGGAGAUUAAAGAUUAGGGUUUUUGGCCAGAAAGUUUCAAUCCGGUAUUCGAGCAAUUCCGGAAAGACUCGAGGGAUGCCACUAUGGGGGUUGGGUAGAGUAGGUCCGGGCGGUUCUAUGGUGUAAUGUUGGGAUCAUUUGGCAUAAGUUUUAUCAUGGCCGAAAAAGUUUCCGAUGAAGAUUCGAGGAGAUGGAGGCAGAUUUGAAGGAUAAGGAUAUGGGGAAUGGAAAGAGGAGAAGAAGGCACAUCGAUGGUGUUCUUUUGGUAAUCAACAGCGUAAGUUACGUCUCCCGCCGGCGAGGACUCCGGUGAAGGUACAGUGGCGGAGAUGGUGGGGUGAGUUUUGGUACGAGGAAGACAGGAUUGGUCUUUGACUUUGAAUAAUAUCAAACGACCAUUUAAUAAUUUAAUGAGACUGAACCCCACCUGUUAGAUUAAGAUCAAUAGAUGACUGUGAUUGAGAGACGCCUAAAUGGCAUCAUUUUUGGUUGAGGGAAUUUCGAUCGGGUGAGGAAUUGGGUCGGGCUAGCCGGGUGUGGGUCAAAUGGUUUGGGCCUGAAUUGUAACACCAGCCUACUUUCAAUUCCUUAUUAAGUAAUUUUCUUUUGCUUUUUCUUUUUCUUAUUUAUUUUAAUUAUUUGUUUUUUUAUAUUUUUUCUAAUUUUAUUAAAAUGCUAAAAUAAACUCACAAUCAACUUAACACAAAAAUUAGAUUUCCUAAUUAAUUCCUAAUUAAAAAUGCAAACUAAUUCCAGUUUAAACUAAAAAUUCAAAACGGACCAUUUUGUUAUUUUCUUUGAAUUUUGUUCUUAAAAUAAAUUAACCCCUAAUUAAUCCUAAAUUAUAAAUUUAAAUCCUAAAUGUAAAUGCAUAUUCUUAUAUUUUAUAUGAAUUAACAUGCACAAAUAAAAUGCAAUAAUUAUCAGAAAAUGACACCAAAAUACACAAAAAUUGUAAAAAUAAAGAAAAAUUAUUUUGUUGAAUUUUUGGGAAUAAUUUUCUUAGGGCAAAAAUUACGUGCUCACACUAACAUAAAACUUCAAAAUAUUUUAGAGCAUCAUCUUUUUGACUCAAAAACAUAACGCAGGUAAAUCUAGAGAAAUUGUCUACAAUAACAAAAGUAUAUUUUCUACCACCUAUACUAACAGCUCUAGUUGGACCAAAUAAAUCCAUAUGCAUUAGUUGGAGAAGUUUUGAGGUGGAAACAAAAUUCUUGAUUUUGAAAUGUGAGAGAGUUUUUUUCCUAGUUGACAUGCGUCACAAAUAUGAUCCUUUGAAUAAUCUAGUUUUGGAAGUCUAAUAACUAGAUCAUGUUUAGAAAGAUUUUGAAUAGUAUGCAUGCUGGCAUGACCAAAUUUUUUUAUGCCAGACCCAGGGAUCAUCAGCUAUAGAAGCAAGAUAAAUUUAUACCCAAGAUUAUCUCGGUUGCUAAUAGUAUAGACAUUUCUAUCUCUAUUACCUGAAAGAAUGACUUUACUUGAUUCAUCUUCUAUAAACCAACUAUGUUUCUUAAAGCAAACCACCUAGUCACAUAGUUGACUAAUGCUGAGAAGAUUGUAGCCAAGUUCAUCAACCAGGCAGUCUUCAUCUACAUCACAUGUUGAGCUUAGAGAAACUUUUCUGACACCAAUUACAUUUUCUUUAGAUUUGUCUCCAAAUGUGACUGUUCCUCCAUCUAGUUUGGGGACUGUCUUGAACAAUUGUUUAUCACCAGUCAUAUGUCUGGAACACGCGCAGUUGAGAUACCACAUUCCUUUUGGAUUUUUCUUGUGGUGUUCCUGCAAAAUAAAAUUACUUGUUUUUAAGUACCCAAGAUUGCUUGGGUCCUGAAAGGUUAAAAUAUUGAGUGUUAGUUUGAUUUGAAGAUUUGAGUUGUCAGACCCAUCUUCUGUCAUCCUUGAACCUGUAACGAUUUGAUGUGUGUCCCUUUUUACCAUAAUAAAAAUAAGACGGACUAUUUGAAUUUUCAGAGUCUUUUUCUGCUUUGAUUCUGUUCCUGCAUUGGUUAGUAUUAUGGCCAUUUUUACCUCAAAAGGAAGAUGCAUGAAAUUUCUUUUGUUUAUGAUGAACGGUUUGAUUUGAUUUGACUGAACUAUCACUAGUGGAUUUUUGCAAUCCAUUCAAUUGAAGUUGAAGUUUAUUAACUUUUUCCUUUAGCAUAUCACGUUCAAUUUCACAAACUUCUAGCUUCAGGGCCCAUUCUUUCUUUUCUCUUUGAAUCUUUCUGAGUUUAUUUAGAACUCUUUCAAUAUCUGCAAGAGCAAUAUUAACAAAUUCUUAGAGUUCAUAACAAUUAAGGCGAUUUGGGGGACGUAUCUCACUAGUUCCCUCGUCUGUCAUGAGAUCAAGUUGAUCUGAGUCUUCUUCUUCAUUUGCUCCUCUGUUUCCUGAAAAACCACGCUCUCCUAAUUCUUCAUUUCUAUCAUCUUCUAUGUCCAUAAAUCACAUAUUUGCAAUUUCCUUAUGAUCAGACUCUUCUUCAUCACUCCAAGUCCAAAAGACUUCUUCCUUUGAAAGUUCCUGCUCAGCUCCUUCUUUAGGUGGGGACGGUCAGCUUGAAGUGUCCACAUUUCCCACAUUCGUAGCAUCUUCCAUCCUUUUCAUUGUUUAUCCUUCACUUUCCGAAGUUAGGUUUACCUUUUCUGCUAUGUCUGUUUUCCUUCAUCAUGCUAGUUACAACUUGAGAAAGCAUGGCUAUAUUUUCAUCUUGUUCUCCUCUUUCAUCUUCUUCUUCUUCUUCAUCUUCUGGUUCAUUCAUGGUUGCUUUGAAGGCGACUGUUUUCUUCUUUUCUUGUUGAAUCUGUCUAUCCAAGUGAGUUUUCUCAAAAGUUAUUAGAUCACCUCUGAGUGCAUCAUAGGACAUUUCGUCAAGAUCCUGACAUUCGAGUGCGAUGAACUUUGGCUACCAAAUCAUAGGUAGACUUCUUAGAAUUUUUCUGACUUGUUCUCCACUUUUUAUUGUUCUACCAAAGGACUUCAGAUCUCCAAGAAUUUUGCUGGACUUGGAGAUUAUUUUUUCAGCAGAUUCUCCGUCCUUCGUUUGAAAUACCUCAUAUCACGAACCAAGAGAUUUAUUCUCGUUUCUUUUACCUUGUUGGUCCCUUCAUGUAUGACUUCCAAUUUGUCCUACAUCCCCUUAGUAGUUUCACAUCUUGAGAUCUUUUCAUAUUCUUCACCACUGAUAGCAUUGUACGAUAGAUUUUUUGCUUUGGCAUUCACAGUUAUGAUAGCAGCUUGCUCAUUAGUAUAGUCAUCUAAGUCAAGUGGAUUGGUGGUUACUAUUAUUUAUCAUUCUCAUCCUUCUUUUGGGGGAAUUGGAAGACUUCCCUUUUUGAUCACCUACCAAACUUUGAUGUCAUAUGAUAUGGUGUAUGUUUCCAUACGCACUUUUUAAUGAGAAAAAUAUUAUCCAUUAAAGUAUGGUGGUCGAACUUAAGAGGUUCCCUCUUGAAAUAGUGCACCAACAAUUGUUUUUGAUUCAAUUAUCUUUUCUUCACUAGCUAUUAAGUAAAGUUUGUGAGUCUUUCAUUGAUAAUCAAUUGAAAGUACAUGAGGGGGGAAGGGUGAAUUGUGGUCUAUUAAAAAUUAAUCGACUAACAAUAAUUUUAUUUGACUAGAUCGAGAGCAGAAUGUAAAAUAAUAAGUGAAAUGAAAGAGAAUGACAUACAACAAAUUUAUACUAGUUCGGUAUCGAUGUGGUACUUGCAUCCAGUUUCCCUUGAGUCACAAGGGUUCCCUUUAGAUCUUGAAAGUAUUACAACAAGGAUGGUUUUUAUUCAUUUACCACCAACGAAGUAUAGCAACAAUGAAUCACUAAUAAUGACACAACUCUCUUUUAUAUUCUAACUCUUCCUAUCUUUUGAGAAACUGGUAAACUAAGCAUUACCGUGUUUAGGCUAAGAAGUAGAUAGACUUAGAAAAUAAUGUGUGCAGUUGCGCAAUUAUUCCAUUUGAUCUAAGCAAACUUCUUAUAGGAGAGAAAAGAGUCGUUGAGUCUUGACCAAAAAUAGAGUUACGAGAUCUUUAAAAGGAUGUGACCCAAUGGGUGCCUCUUUGAAUCCUGCUCUUGGGAAGAGCCGGAUUCGAUCGUGACUUUCCUUGUCACAACUUUCAUUCACGAUACAAUCAAGUAUUUGAUUGAUUUUAACUAAGAAUACAUAAUAUUUGCUGGCAAUAGCUCCUUGAUUUGUAAUCUGAUUUCCUUGAUUGAGGCCGAAUAGAUCUAUAGAUUCUUUAUUCUUCCUUCAGGUCCAUCGAUUUAGCAAUCACAUAUUUGGAUAGCUUCUUAUUGGUUUUCUUUUCUUUUGAUGAUUCCUAAAAAACAAGGUAAGUGAACAUUGUCAUCAUUGAAACCUUGGAAUUUAACUUAACAUGGUUGUGGUAUUAAAAUUUGUUUUGAGGAAAAGUUGUGGCAUAUGGGAACACGUGGUAAAAAACCUUUUAUUGCGUUGUUAUGUUUGUCACACGUGAUAUUAUUAAGAGGAUUGUUGGGGUAUUUGCACGUGAUUUGUCCGUGAUAUUAUUAUUAUUAACAUUUGCACAUGAGGCGUGACAAGGCAGGCUAUAUAUAUGUGGAUUUUCUCAUGUGCCGAUACAAUGUGAUAAUAUUAUUAUGCGUGUGCGAUGAGACAAGGCAAGCAUUUAUUCUAUUGUUGCACAUACGGCAAGACAAGGUGGGCUAUGUCGGGGAAUGAUUUAUGAUAACUUGUGACGGCCUGGGGGCAUUGUUAUUAUUUUAUGUAAUGGUAGCCUACCUUAUGUGAGUUAUACAUUGUAUAUUUUGUGGUGAUUGUUUCUUAUGUUUCAUUCAUUGUCUCUACUCUUACUUAUUGACUUGAAUUGUGAUUGAACACUUGUAUAAGCAUACACGUAAUUAAUUACCAUAUCAAUUUAAGAAUAUGAAUCUUGAUGUUAUUGACCAUUUUAUGUACUCUCAUUUAAUUGUAUUUUGUGUAAGAGUUGUUCUAUUGGCACGUGAGUUAUCCGUGUGGUCAUGAGUCAUUAUUACUGUUGACACGUGAUUUGUCCAUGCGGAUAAUUGAUAUUGUCACUCCUUAGGCACGUGAGCCGUCCGUGCAGUUAUUAAUAGUAAUAUGGGCAUGAGAUGCCAAGUGAUUAGAAUUCAGGAAUUGGGACCCGUGAAAUGUGAUCAUAAGGUAAAGUACCUCGAGGAAAUCCUUGAACAAAUCUUGUGUGAAAGUGGGGGAUCUUAUUGAAUUAAUAGUUGUUCCUUCUACUCGGUUUUACCAGACUUAAACUGUGUUCAGCUCAUUCUAUGGCAUUAUUACUUGUUUGUCCCCUAUUGUUAAUCAUUGUUUCUAGUGCUUUACUACGAGUAAUGUUUUGUAAUCUUUACUAUGCUUAAUUUAUAUUGACAUUGUUUUGCCGUUAGUUUCAUGUUCAUACUUUUACAGGUUAUUUAUUCUAGUAGGUCUCUUAACUCUCCCUCGUCACUACUUUACCAAAAUUAGUCUUGAUACUUACUAAAUACCAUUAUGGUGUACUUAUACUACACAUUUUGUGCAGAUUCAGGUACUUCAGAGUGUGUUGAUCACUAGUUAGCUAUUCGGGUUUUGAUGUGGAGACUCAAGGUAAAUCUGUCGUUUCAUCUGCGGGCCUCGAAAUCACCUUCUACUAUUGUACUUGUGUUAUCUAUUUCUUUUUUGGGACAAUUGUUCUUACAAGAUUAUUCUAGUAAACUCAAUAGAGCUUCAGGCUUAUAUUACCAGUUUUUGGGUAUUGUAUCGCACUCGGAACCAUUGGUUUUACUAUAGAAAUUACAGUUUAAUGCUUCGUAGUUGUUCUGCUUUAAUUUUAUCUUCUAUUCAGUAAGUGUUAGGUUUACCUAAUCUUAGAGAUUAGGUGUCAUCACGACAUCCUACAGAGAGAAACUAGGGUGUGACAUGAAUUGAAAAAAGGAACACAAAAAGCAGCUUUUCUUGCUUCAGAAGGGAUCAUACAUCAGUUAUCGUGUGUGGGAACUCCUUAACAAAAUGUAAUUUUUGAGAGAAAUCAUAUACAUCUUUUAGAUGUUGCAAGAGGAUUGAUGUUUCAAUCCAAUCUCCCUAUAUCUUAUUUGGGAGAGUCUAAUUUAAUUGCGAUACACAUCAUAAAUAGACUGGCCUCUAGGAUGCUGAAAGGUAAGAUAUCGUAUGAAGUACUUUUUCAACAGAAGCCUCAAUAUAAACAUUUGAGGAAUUUGGAUGUCUAUGUUAUGCUUCCACUUUGACACAAGGAAGAAGUAAAUUUGAUGAGAGAGCAACUGCAUGUGUCCUAAUUGGGUAUCCUAUACAUAUAAAAAGGAUAUAAAUUAUUGGAGUUGGACAUAAAGAGGGCAUUUACAUCCAGAUAUGUGAAGUUCUUUGAAACAUAUUUUCCAUUUGCUAAGUACAAUCAUUCACACAAUCCUAUUUUUUUCAAACUCACCUCUAGCCUCAGACUCUACCUAUGCUACACACACAACCAGAUGUACCAAAUAUACCAGAUAUGCCUUCUUCACCCUCACUCCUAUCUCCACAUACUCCUCAUCAGUAUUAUUGUCCACAUAUUCCCUAUUCUCCUUCCUAGAACAAUCACCAUAGCAGCUCACCUAGCACAUAAACAAAUAUUCCACUAAGGAAGGACUAUGUAUGCAAUACUGUUGUGUUUACUAUUUGGACAUGGCAUAUUUUGCUCAACCAAGUAAGCCAAGUGAUUACUCCUCUUUAUAUCUAUUUAUAAACAACCAACACAUUAUUCAAUCUCUACCUACACUAAUUGAGCUUACUAGCUUUAACCAAGCUCCUCAAAAUUCAUGAUGUAGAGAAGCCAUGGAAUCAGAAGUUCAAGCCAUAUAAGACAACCAAACCCGGGAUGUGGUUGAGUUACCUAAAGGAAGGAAGGAAUUACUUUAUAAAUGGGUGUACAAAGUAAAAUACAUAUCAGAUGGUACUAUUGAAAUACUAAAGGCAAGGCUUGUAGCAAGAGGGGAUAUCCAAAGAGAAGGAAUAGAUUAUAGUGAAUCAUUUUUACAAAUGGUGAAUAUGACAACUAUAAGAUGCCUUCUUACUGUUACAGCAAAAAGACAUUAGAGUGUUUAUCAAUUGGACGUCAAUAAUGUAUUUUUGCAUGGUGAAUUGCAAGAGGAAGUGUGUUCAUAAAAUUUCCAGCAGGUCUGACACCGCCUAGUCCUAAACACAUUUGUCUUUUGAAAAAUCAUUAUAUGAUUUAACGCAAGUUUCCGCGCGACGGUAUGCUCGGCUUGUAGGGGCUUUGAGUUUUAAAGAUACUCUUCAUCAAUGAAUGAUUACUCUUUGUUUUUUCAAAAAACAAGGGUCUUAUUUCAAUCCUAGCCAUUUAUGUUAAUGAUAUAUUAUUAAUAAGGGAUGAUUUACAGAAAAUUCAAAGCAUCAAAGACUUUCUUAAUACUGAGUUUAAGGUAAAGAACCUAGGAGACAUACACUACUUUCUUGGAAUGAAUUUAUGGGAAAGCAGUGGUUUCAUUGUGAGUCAGCGAAAGUUUACCUUAGAUAUGCAUCAGAAAUUUGAUGCAUCUCACUUGCCUCGAGCAAAUUCUCCUUUAGACCCCUGCUCCAAGCUCCAAACCGAUGAUGGAUCUCUCACGGACAACCCCACAUCUAUCGACGUUUAGUUGGGAAGCAUAACUAUCUGACAAAUACUUGCCCAGAUAUUUCCUUUGUCAUUCUUACUCAGAGCCAAUAUAUGCAGAGGCCUAGUUUUCCCCCUUUUUGUUGCCUUGAGAUUUUGCGAUAUCUAGGUUCUGAUCUGAGAUAAGAAAUUAUGUUGCCCUUCAUUCUUGAUUUUUCCUUGCUUGCAUUUUGUGACGCUGACUGGGUUUUUUCAAGGAUACUUACAUAUAUGGGAGUGGAUUCUUUAUUACCUUAAAAAGGGCUCCAAUCUCGUGGAAAUCGAAGAAACAAGUUUCAAUUGCCCUAUUCUCUGCCGAAGCAUCGUUCCAUGCUGUGUGUCACUACUGUCAUGGGGCGAUUUUGGCCACUUAAAUCCUGGCCGAGGUUUCACCUCCGUGCGGCAGUCAAGCCUGGCCUGACUCAGCCUUCCCCCAAAACUUGCCAAUCACACACAAGUUUAGCCUUAGACGAAUUUGGGCAGCAAAACAGAAUUUAAAUGAGACAAGCAUAUACGGGAACAAUUUCCC
RNAcentral lists this long non-coding RNA (9735 nucleotides) under Nicotiana benthamiana. RNAcentral describes it as "long non-coding RNA (NBEN_LNC027454)". Lineage: Eukaryota; Viridiplantae; Streptophyta; Magnoliopsida; Solanales; Solanaceae. The record is from RNAcentral.